AAGUUCUUUAGAUGUUCUAUGAAAAUGGUGCCUCCCCUCAGUCGUUCAUAUGGUCUUUGGAUUUAGAAGUUAAUGCCUUGUAAUGAUCAUAUUGUGGAGCGAAAUGAAGUUUGUGUAAACUGGAGUCAUCUCAAGAAUCAAGAUACUAUGAUAAACUAUAAAUAUUGCCAUUCUUCGAAUCAAUGAGUGAGAAAAUGUCUUUUUCCCUGAGGUUUUAUUUGAAUGGUUUCUAUGGGUUUGUAAAUGCAUCUGCACUAUGAAGGCUUUUUCUUUUUCUGAAUUUUAAAAAUGCUAAGAUAAAAUCUGUGACCUAUAAAGGUUUGAGGGUAGGAUACUUUAAUCUUUCUAUCAAACUAGUUUGGAUUGGCCUUU
RNAcentral lists this unclassified non-coding RNA (372 nucleotides) under Hevea brasiliensis (rubber tree). Lineage: Eukaryota; Viridiplantae; Streptophyta; Magnoliopsida; Malpighiales; Euphorbiaceae. The record is from RNAcentral.